Molecule: ribosomal RNA, 305 nt
Filed under: uncultured bacterium
Lineage: Bacteria
Description: bacterial SSU rRNA
Rfam family: Bacterial small subunit ribosomal RNA
Source: RNAcentral
GCCUACGGGGGGCAGCAGUGGGGGAUAUUGGACAAUGGGGGAAACCCUGAUCCAGCGAUGCCGCGUGAGGGAAGAAGGUUUUCGGAUUGUAAACCUCUGUGGACAGGGACGAUAAUGACGGUACCUGUCAAGAAAGCCACGGCUAACUACGUGCCAGCAGCCGCGGUAAUACGUAGGUGGCAAGCGUUAUCCGGAUUUACUGGGUGUAAAGGGCGUGUAGGCGGGAAAGCAAGUCAGAUGUGAAAACCAUGGGCUCAACCUGUGGCCUGCAUUUGAAACUGUUUUUCUUGAGUACUGGAGAGGCA